This 458-nucleotide ribosomal RNA is filed under the name Evaniella sp. DERV039. RNAcentral's name for it is "partial 16S ribosomal RNA". Lineage: Eukaryota; Metazoa; Arthropoda; Insecta; Hymenoptera; Evaniidae. The record is from RNAcentral.
AUCAAAAACAUGGCUUUUCGAAUUUAAUUAAAGGUCUAAUCUGCUCAAUGAUUAAAGUUAAAUAGCUGCAGAAUUUUAACUGUACAAAGGUAGCAUAAUAAUUAGUUCAUUUAUUGUGUUCUGGGAUGAAUGAUUUGAUAAAGUAAAAUAUGUUUUGAUUUAUUGAGUAAAAAUUUAUUUUUAAGUUAAAAAGCUUAAAUAAAUUAAAGGGACGAGAAGACCCUAUAGAUUUUUAUUUAAUUUUUUAUAAUUUUUUUUAAGUUAUUAGGUUAUAAAGGGGAUUAAAUUUUGGUGGGGUACUGGGUAAAUAAAAUAAUUUUAAUUGAUAAUAACAAAAAUUGUUGGAGAGGAUGGAAGUGAAGAGUUAAGCUAAGAAAAGAUUAAAAAUACCUUAGGGAUAACAGCGUAAUAAACUUUUUAAGAUCUUAUUUUAAAGUUUGAUUGUGACCUCGAUGUUG